UUCUCGUACGAUCACUGAAGUUAAGCAACGUCGAGGCUGGUCAGUACCUAAGUGGGUGACCGCUUGGGAAUACCAGGUGCUGCCAG
Acanthosepion pharaonis is the source of this 86-nucleotide non-coding RNA. The record is from the annotation of a GenBank genome assembly. Lineage: Eukaryota; Metazoa; Mollusca; Cephalopoda; Sepiida; Sepiidae.